AGAGUUAACUUACAAUGGGGCCAAAUAUAUGAGGAAGGAUAACAUAUUACGUAAAAACAUGAAACAUAAAUAAAAUUACUAUUAGAGAAAUUAAUUAGAGAAAAUUUUGGUUAAGGCAUUGACUAGAAGGUACCCCUUCGCCAAAGAAAAGAACAAGGCGAGAUCAUGUAAUGCCAUUAUGAAAAUGUAAAUGUGAAGCUCUUUGGUAUAUAUCUUAUUAUAUGAUUUUCUGUGCAUCAAGUUGCAUAUCCUUAUAUAAGGCUAUAAAGAGAAAGCUGAUGACUGGGCAAACUUCAUUUUGGACAUGUUCUAUAUAGCUAAAGAACAAACCAUUCUCGCAUAUUUUGUGAGCUAGUAACUAGAUGGUGAGUUUUCGAGUUCUGAUAUCUGCAAAUCUCUCUUCAGCUUACCACCUUUUCUUACCCUUUCUGCUCCAGAUACACAAUAGUAUAGCUUUUAGCUUCGCCUUCCGCUUACUUGGAAGCUUCUGAAUGGAGUAGACCAUCUCGCUUUAGCUUCAAGAUCAUUGGGCGUCAGCCCAUUUCUUUUCUCUGUUGCCAAUUGACGCUUGCCAGCUGCUGUUCUUGACGUGCGAUGCCUUGUCUAACCCAAAAAGAAGAAACAGAAAUUGCUUUUCCAACAAUAAAUGAAUUGGAAA
This 658-nucleotide unclassified non-coding RNA is filed under the name Hevea brasiliensis (rubber tree). Lineage: Eukaryota; Viridiplantae; Streptophyta; Magnoliopsida; Malpighiales; Euphorbiaceae. The record is from RNAcentral.